This is a long non-coding RNA of Neltuma alba, 812 nucleotides long. RefSeq lists it as uncharacterized. The transcript has 4 exons. The record is from RefSeq and is a predicted model, not a curated record. NCBI's taxonomy places the organism in Eukaryota, Viridiplantae, Streptophyta, Magnoliopsida, Fabales, Fabaceae.
UAAAGCCGGUGGGAAAGCGAAAUUUGCAAUCCUUGGUCCGCACGAAGCAAGAGGGAGAGAGAGAAGGAGUGUCUGGUUUGAGAAUUUAGAUAUUCGCAGUUUGGUGGGAAAAGUGGGCGGAGAGGAAUAUCUGGAUUCCACCUCUUUCGACGGUGGUUAUGCUGCUUGCCGUUCAGGGUGCCCUUAAUUUGAAUUUUGACGAUCUUGUUCUCUCAUUCAAGAUAUGGAGGCAGCUUGUUUCUGGCCAAAUUGCUACAAGUAUCGAUUGCUUUCUUUCCAAGAAGUGCAGGAUUGGCAUAGCUUUGUCCUUGUAGAUUUUCUUCUUGUUUCCUUUGUUAAUUGCACCUAGGGUUCUGUUCCUCUUGGAUGAUCACCAAUGGGUAUGUAAUGCUAGUUCCUUCUGAGUCAGGUGCUCCAUCUUUAGUGCACUUGUGCAAUGCAUUGCUGACCCAAAAUCCAGUUAAAACAUCUUGUCAAUCAUCAUCUGGGGGCUGAAGUUUACAGGUUGCUGACUGAAUGUUGGAUGCUUUCUCCAUGUCAAGUAUCGGAUAGGCAAUUACAUUGAAUUAGUGUGCCCUGUAAUCAUUAGUAUUUAAUUCAUUUUCGCUCCUUAUGGAUAUUGGUGAGAACUAAACAUCAGCUACCUGAAGGCUCUGAAACAAUUCCUAUUAGUUUUGGUGAAGUAGCUAUUACUGGAGUUUUGAUGUCCUGGGUCAGUGACGCUAUCUUGAGAUCAAUGCUGUUGCCUUGAUAACUCAUUUUGGUUGGACCUGGGAAGUGUUAAUAUGAUCUACAGUAUUUGUUCAUCAUUG